AUCAUAUCUUCUUAACAGAGGUGUAAACGACAGUGAAGAUACAAGAGAAGAGAGAGGCCUUACCUUAUUCUCUUCAGAUCAGUAACAGCUGAAAAACAAAUGUGUUGAAUCUCCAAGAAUAAGGUGCAGACCUGACAACUUGAUAGUUUUCCCUUGUUAGGAGGGACAGAGCUAUGAUCUGCAGUAACCCAAGCCCCUGUCUGAAGAGGGUGAUGAUGAGACACAUUUCCCAGAGAUGCUGAAAGCUUUGAAAACACUUCUUUUCAGAAUACAGCCAUUUGAAUCUCAGUGUUGAAAGACCUUUGAACAACCUACCUACUUAAUUAUGAAUUCUUAAGGCACUUUCUCAGACGUUCCUAGUUUUUCCUUUAACCGUAACAGUGUGUGCACAUUUCUGCUUUUGGGAAAACCAAACCCUAAAAGACAGUGAGUCUUUUACAAUCAAACAUUUUAAGAUCUGCAAAAGAGACAGCUCAAGCAAGGAGUAUUUGCCUGAAACUCUUGCUCUGAAGAAGAGAGCAGUGAAGGAGGAGUAGGAGAAGCCCACCUGCUACAGCAACUCUUCUCACCAACCAGAGCUGGUGAUUGGAUCCAGUCCGGGAAAUAAACUGUUCUAAGGAAAGAGGCA
This 628-nucleotide long non-coding RNA is filed under the name Crocodylus porosus (Australian saltwater crocodile). RNAcentral describes it as "lncRNA (ENSCPRG00005014432.1)". The record is from RNAcentral. Lineage: Eukaryota; Metazoa; Chordata; Crocodylia; Crocodylidae.